RNAcentral lists this ribosomal RNA (709 nucleotides) under uncultured marine alveolate. Its description in RNAcentral is "SSU rRNA". It matches the Rfam family "Eukaryotic small subunit ribosomal RNA", at positions 618 to 1331 of the family's 1831-position model. The record is from RNAcentral.
GUUAAAAAGCUCGUAGUUGGAGUUCUGCCAGGUGCCGCCUGUCCGCCCCAGUGGUGAGUACGUGGCGCGCAUUUGGCCCUUUCAAGGGGAGCGUAUCUGCACUUAACUGUGUGGUGCGGGAUCCUUGACUUUUACUUUGAGGAAAUAAGAGUGUUCCAAGCAGGCUCUCGUCGUGCAUAGCUCAGCAUGGAAUAAUAGCAUUGGACCUCGAUUCUAAGCUGUUGGUUGCCAGAAACGAGGUAAUGAUGAAGAGGGAUAGUUGGGGGCAUUCGUAUUUAACUGUCAGAGGUGAAAUUCUUGGAUUUGUUAAAGACGAACUACUGCGAAAGCAUCUGCCAUGGAUGUUUUCAUUGAUCAAGAACGAAAGUUAGGGGAUCGAAGACGAUCAGAUACCGUCCUAGUCUUAACUAUAAACCAUGCCGGCUAGAGAUCGGAGGUUGUUCGUUUUGUGACGCCUUCAGCAUCUUGAGAGAAAUCAAAGCCUUUGGGUUCCGGGGGGAGUAUGGUCGCAAGGCUGAAACUUAAAGGAAUUGACGGAAGGGCACCACCAGGAGUGGAGCCUGCGGCUUAAUUUGACUCAACACGGGGAAACUCACCAGGUCCAGACUGGGUAAGGAUGUACAGAUUGACAGCUCUUUACAGAUUCUCAGGGUGGUGGUGCAUGGCCGUUCUUAGUUGGUGGAGUGAUUUGUCUGGUUAAUUCCGUUAA